AGCGGCGAGCGAACGGGGAGCAGCCCAGAGUCUGAAUCAGCUUGUGUGUUAGUGGAACGGUCUGGAAAGUCCGACGGUACAGGGUGAUAGUCCCGUACACCAAAAUGCACAAGCUGUGAACUCGAAGAGUAGGGCGGGACACGUGGUAUCCUGUCUGAAUAUGGGGGGACCAUCCUCCAAGGCUAAAUACUCCUGACUGACCGAUAGUGAACCAGUACCGUGAGGGAAAGGCGAAAAGA
This 239-nucleotide ribosomal RNA is filed under the name Klebsiella pneumoniae. RNAcentral's name for it is "partial 23S ribosomal RNA". It matches the Rfam family "Bacterial large subunit ribosomal RNA", at positions 245 to 522 of the family's 2925-position model. The record is from RNAcentral. Lineage: Bacteria; Pseudomonadati; Pseudomonadota; Gammaproteobacteria; Enterobacterales; Enterobacteriaceae.